Molecule: non-coding RNA, 114 nt
Organism: Acanthosepion pharaonis
Lineage: Eukaryota; Metazoa; Mollusca; Cephalopoda; Sepiida; Sepiidae
Source: the annotation of a GenBank genome assembly
UUACGGCCACAUCACGUUGAAACAUCGGUUCCCGUACGAUCACCGAAGUUAAGCAACGUCCAGCCUGGUCACUACCUAGAUGGUCGACCGCCUCAGAAUAUCAUGUGUUGUAAG